GAUCUCUUCUGCAGAUCCACUUUGCUGGAAUUUUGUGAGUGAGUCCAGGGUACGGACUACCAAAGCCAUUCUGUAGAAAAGCAUUUCUUUGGACAAAGAGCUGUGCAAAUCCAAUAUGAACUGUCCUAUGCUUGUACACCUGUCUGCAGCAACCUUAAUGGCAAGAACAAGAAGAAUCACAAGUUUUGCAGCGUGCCACUGGACAAGAAAAAAGAAGUUGUAUGAGCUGCCAUCUGCAUAGUGUGGUGCAGUGAUAGGGGCUGACCUGCUGGCAUUUUGGUAGCCCUCGCUGCUACUUUGACUGACAGCAUCUGUGGACAACAUUGACCAUAAUCAUUCAACGAAAGGGAAGACAAGCAUGGAAAGCUGAGCUUGGUCUCAACCCUCAAUUCCUCAUCUCCAACACACGUUAGAGAUGACAUGUCCAGCAUGUCUACCUAUGCCAUCUCACUGUUCACUUCUGCCCUGCUCACCAGCAAACCCAAAGCAUGGCUUAACCAAAGCACUGUUAGUGUCCUCUCUCCUGCAGGUUCUGGCUUGCUUUGGAUUUGGUCAAGGUGAUUUUAUGUGUGGACAAUUCUCUCCAUGGGGCUAGACAAGCAACAUUAUGUUCAUUUAAUUUUGGCCAUAACUCAGAUCUCUGGGCUGUUUUAUCUCUCUAAAAUGUUGAAACCCCGUAAAUCUUUUCUCUAGAAAUCUCAAAGUUGUAUUUUUCAGUCUUUCCAAGACUGGUUAUACUGUCUGUUUCACUUAU
Long non-coding RNA from Lagopus leucura (white-tailed ptarmigan), 754 nucleotides. RefSeq lists it as uncharacterized. NCBI's taxonomy places the organism in Eukaryota, Metazoa, Chordata, Aves, Galliformes, Phasianidae. The record is from RefSeq and is a predicted model, not a curated record. The transcript has 3 exons.